This 122-nucleotide transfer-messenger RNA is filed under the name Halothiobacillus sp. 28-55-5. RNAcentral's name for it is "partial transfer-messenger RNA". It matches the Rfam family "transfer-messenger RNA", at positions 1 to 129 of the family's 374-position model. From Rfam's summary of the family: Bacterial tmRNA, also known as 10Sa RNA or SsrA, is named for its dual tRNA and mRNA-like properties. The record is from RNAcentral. Lineage: Bacteria; Pseudomonadati; Pseudomonadota; Gammaproteobacteria; Chromatiales; Halothiobacillaceae.
GGGGGUGACAUGGCUUCGACGCGGAUCACGAAACUCUAGGUGCAUGUCGAGGGGUAGAGCCUCGUUAAAAUCUGCAAAAAAUUUAGUUGCCAACGACGACAACUACGCUCUAGCCGCUUAAU